CCUACGUGCGGCAGCAGUGGGGAAUAGUGCACAAGGGGCGAAAGCCUGAUGCAGCAACGCCGCGUGAGCGAUGAAGGCCUUCGGGUCGUAAAGCUCUGUCCUCAAGGAAGAGAAUGACGGUAAUUGAGGAGGAAGCCCCGGCUAACGACGUGCCAGCAGCCUCGGUAAUACGUAGGGGGCGAGCGUGAUCCGGAAUUACUGGGCGUACAGGGGGCGUAGGUGGUUUCUUAAGUCAGAGGUGAAAGGCUACGGCUCAACCGUAGUAAGCCUUUGAAACUGGGGAACUUGAGUGCAGGAGUGGCGAGUGGUAUUCCUCUUGUCGCUGUUACAUGCGUAGAUAUUAGGCGGAACUCCAGUUGC
RNAcentral lists this ribosomal RNA (360 nucleotides) under uncultured bacterium. Its description in RNAcentral is "partial 16S ribosomal RNA". It matches the Rfam family "Bacterial small subunit ribosomal RNA", at positions 338 to 716 of the family's 1533-position model. The record is from RNAcentral.